AGAAAUUAAAUGGGGACAAGAAAAUUGUGAUUUUUUUUUUUUUCUGCGUUCCAUCCAGAGUGAAUUAGAUAGACUUACAUGUGCUGUAAUUGUCAUGGUCCGUGGGAGUACCUGGAGGGGGUUUCCUUCUGGGGCUGUUGUGCCAUCCCUUUGGGGCAGAGACUUUGGUGCUUCAGCUGAGCCUCAGCUGCGAGCAAUCAGCGGGAGACCUACUUCAGCUGACUCGACCGGCUCCUCCUUGCCAGUUUGUUCUACCCUACUCGGUGCGGAGUUCCAAUCCUGGCUUUCACCUUCUGGGACAGUCCCCCGUCUCCCAGCCUACUUGUCCGCCUGCCCUCCAGACGCUUUCCACGGACAACAUCCUUCCCCUCGGUGAUACUAACCCAGACUGGCACAGUAAGGCGGACUAUUCUACAGUUUCUAGUUAUCUAAGCUUCAGUUUUCCCUCCCGAUUAUAACCACCUCUGUAAGCAUUCCUCGCCCGUGUUUGGUCUGGGAUUUUUUGGUCCACUUCCCUGGGUGAACCUGUUGGUUCAUGACAGUAAUAUUUGUAUGUAUUUUAUGAAGGCUCAUAAGCAUUAAAUUAAUUGUCAGACCAACACUUUGUAAAGAUAAUUUGUUUUCACAGAAAUAUUGAAAUGCUUUGGGGUAUGUAAAACUUAGGGUUGAAGAAGUUAAUGUUUUUGUUUCAUAUCAAAAUGUGAAGAGACGACAUGAAAGCAACAGGUGUUACUGUAUUCUAUCAGAACUGGAUCCAGCAGAAAUGUAUGAACCUGGUAAUGUGUUUGUUUUGCUUUUUUCUUUCAGAAUGGCCUUAAUGACGUUGACCACUAACCGGCCUGAGACGCCGUACUUCAGGCCCCCACCCAUUCACAUCUGGGUGUUAAAAUCUUGAGACCAGCUAAAGGUGAUCAGCUGGGAUAUCCAAGAUGGAGUGGUCAAACCACUGUUAACAAAAAAAAAUACGGUGGCAGCAAUCACUGACGGAGAGACAGUGGCAAAAAUUACUUUGUUUGAAGAAUUCUCAUCCAAAGAGGGCAUGUUUUACAUGAUGAGGAAAAAUGAACUGAGAGGCCAAGCUCCCCCUUAUCUAAUCAACAUCACAGUGAGGACACAGUUUUUUAAAGCUCCUGCCCUUGCAGUAACAGAGGCACUCAUCACAAAGGCGGAGGAGCUUCUUGAUCCACCUUUCCCAGCAAAACCACUGAGGAUGAGCCCAAUGUUUGGAGGGCUUAUGAGAGUGGAAGGGGAGGUUGUGGAGGUAUUGCUUUAGGUUUUCAAAGAAACCAUUACUUUUUUUGUCUUUAAUUGAAUUUUCAGUGUUCAGCAGUGAGGAAAGUUGUUGCAUGCAAACAGCAGGUGCCUAUACGAACGCUCCAGCUAAAGUAGGUAAUGGUGAAACUAAAGUGUAAUAUUAAAAGAGCCAGAGGAAGAGGCCCAGGGACAGCCAGGCUGUUCUUCAGUUUCUAAAAGACCAGGCCGAACGAGAGG
Long non-coding RNA from Oreochromis aureus, 1491 nucleotides. RefSeq lists it as uncharacterized. The record is from RefSeq and is a predicted model, not a curated record. Lineage: Eukaryota; Metazoa; Chordata; Actinopteri; Cichliformes; Cichlidae. The transcript has 3 exons.